GCAUAUUCACAAUGAAAUGAUACUUAUAGCAUCAUAAGUAACCAAUCAUUUUCCCAGAAAACACAUUUACAACUGAUGAAACUAUUCACAGAUAUUUACAUCCAAAGAAUACUACAAGCAUAAUCACAACACCAUUGCUUUUUAGCUUUCACUCUUUUUUCUUUUUCUUAAUUUUCCUUCUAUAACCAUCAUUCUUCACUUCUCCUUCCUCCAGACACAGUUCGAAUGACAAAUUUACACCAAUUAUCAAGAGACAAAGUCGAGGUUACUUCAAAUAAUUCUGAAAAACAUAAGACACAAGGUACUGGGAGUGUCCAUAGACGAUUUUUUAUUUUUUUACAGUUUAACUUUCAGUUUACUCCUCAGUCCAUAUUUAGGCUUGUAAUAGUUAACAAAAAACAGCUUAGUGUUUGAUCCACUAAGCAACAAAGAAUCUGGAGAAAAGAUAUCAAAUCAACUGAGCCACUGCAGUAUGUCAGCUAUACCGCAAAGAUGAGAGCCACUGUUCCAUAAACUUCUCAUUCCCAGAAGCAUGUAUAUCCCUGAAAUUACCAAUGGUCUGCAUGAACUUGUCUUGAGCAUUAUCUUCCAAAUCCGCGCGCCCACGUCCAUAGCAAGGAACUAGUACAGCAAAACUAUCAUCUCUAUCAUCAUCACUCUGGAAACCAGGGCCAUGAGGCUCCAACCAUCCAACAGACCAAUCCGAAUCAUCUGACUCAGAACCUGAAACACAUCCGCCAUCCGAUGGAACAAGAACAAUAUCAUACUCCCUAUCAACCUUCCGCUCCUCACGACUCUCCCAUUUUCGCUUAACCUUUCUAGAUGAGGAGGCCAUAUUCCUUCUCCUAUCAAGAGUGAACUUCAAAGUAUCCAAUUCCAACAAACUCGAAUCAGGUGAUGAAUUUACAGAAGUCCCUUUCGAUAUUUUAGGUUCUUGAUGCUUUCCACUCCAAAGCCACCAUGAUAAAGGGUUAAAGGCCAAAGCCAUGUCUUAGUAAAUCAAGUAAAUUACUUGCCCUUUAUAGAAUCAAAAUCCGGGAUUGAGUUAUGAACAAAAAUGUUGGCGGAUACAAUGAAUCUUGGAUUUCGAAGCCUAAUGACAAUUGAAUGUGCUGUAAGAGUUAUUAGUUCCUUGAAAACUCAAAAUUUAGUAAAUCAGAGCAAUUCUAGUUCAAAAGGGGUUGUUUAUUUUUCCAAAUCUGACGAUAUUAUUGAAGAAAAAAGAAAAAAAAGAGAUUAUUUUUUUACAUACGAAGCUUUGUGAUAGUUUCCUUCAAGA
RNAcentral lists this unclassified non-coding RNA (1279 nucleotides) under Hevea brasiliensis (rubber tree). The record is from RNAcentral. Lineage: Eukaryota; Viridiplantae; Streptophyta; Magnoliopsida; Malpighiales; Euphorbiaceae.